This 505-nucleotide ribosomal RNA is filed under the name uncultured Burkholderia sp. RNAcentral's name for it is "bacterial SSU rRNA". It matches the Rfam family "Bacterial small subunit ribosomal RNA", at positions 138 to 638 of the family's 1533-position model. Lineage: Bacteria; Pseudomonadati; Pseudomonadota; Betaproteobacteria; Burkholderiales; Burkholderiaceae. The record is from RNAcentral.
GGGGGAUAGCCCGGCGAAAGCCGGAUUAAUACCGCAUACGAUCUGAGGAUGAAAGCGGGGGACCUUCGGGCCUCGCGCUAUAGGGUUGGCCGAUGGCUGAUUAGCUAGUUGGUGGGGUAAAGGCCUACCAAGGCGACGAUCAGUAGCUGGUCUGAGAGGACGACCAGCCACACUGGGACUGAGACACGGCCCAGACUCCUACGGGAGGCAGCAGUGGGGAAUUUUGGACAAUGGGCGAAAGCCUGAUCCAGCAAUGCCGCGUGUGUGAAGAAGGCCUUCGGGUUGUAAAGCACUUUUGUCCGGAAAGAAAUCCUUGGUUCUAAUAUAGCCGGGGGAUGACGGUACCGGAAGAAUAAGCACCGGCUAACUACGUGCCAGCAGCCGCGGUAAUACGUAGGGUGCAAGCGUUAAUCGGAAUUACUGGGCGUAAAGCGUGCGCAGGCGGUUUGCUAAGACCGAUGUGAAAUCCCCGGGCUCAACCUGGGAACUGCAUUGGUGACUGGCA